RNAcentral lists this long non-coding RNA (2312 nucleotides) under Salvia miltiorrhiza (redroot sage). Its description in RNAcentral is "long non-coding RNA (SMIL_LNC007776)". The record is from RNAcentral. Lineage: Eukaryota; Viridiplantae; Streptophyta; Magnoliopsida; Lamiales; Lamiaceae.
AAGAAUGAACUACAACCAAAUCAAUUCGUACAAGAUGGAACACUUCUGAAUUAGAGACAAGUAUUUAAGCAACUGCAAUGAUAACACUCCUUCAAAUUUCAGCCGGACAAAUCACCUCAAUCAUAUUUCAUAAACUUGCCCCACAGCAACAAGUAUAAAAAUGACCUCAUCUCAGUUAAGUCACAAUCAACAAUGAAUUCCAAAGGUUCAACUCAAAUCUAGCCGACUCAACCAAAAACAAACUAACUUAAAUCAAGCCUCUACUAUGCAAAACUAAAUUACUGCAGNGAUUCACAAAUACUGACACAUUUCAACAAAACAAAACAAAAAUCACAACACACGCAAACUCAUCAAUUCACAUGAGAAACAACGAUCCCCCCACACUAAAACUGAGCAAUGUCCUCAAUGCUCAAGUGCAAUGAAGUAGUGAAAAGGAGAAAAACGAAACUUCCCUGAAAAUCGAUGAGCCGGCAACGAUGUGAUUCAUUGAUCGCCCGCGGGUGGUGGAUGGGGAUAACGCUGGGUCCAAGAAUCCCAGCUAGUCUCCAACGCAGAUAUCCUCUGAUCCUGAGUAUCCAAACGCGCUAACAGGACUCUGCGAAAAUCACCAAUGACAUUGUCAAAAUGAGAUUGAAAAGCAGUCAUAGAUGCAUCAAAAUGGUGUUGUGUGAGUGGUGCAUCAGGGUAUGUGAGGGCUAGCUCGGGUGAAGCAGUGGGCUCCGCCUCAUUUUUCUCGUCCUCGUCGUCUGAAUGAGAAGAUGGACCAGCGCCUUGUGCAAUGCCUACAGCAACUUUAGCAUUCGAAUACUCGAUGACGCAGUGCCGUUUAUGAUGGGGAACAAUAGUGUGCCUAUCCUUGAUGAAAUUUCCCCUCAUAAGCUCUUUGUCAUCAAUGAACCGAAAAUCAGUUGAAUCUUGCCCCGGAACAAAUUCUGCGCCGCUUGGAAUAAGCUUGAAAUGAAUCGCUAAACAUGUUAUGAUUGGAGUCAAAGAAACAUGGAAAGCACUCCGACGCUUAAUAAGAUCAAGCUGAGACCAAAUGAAGUAUAUAGGACAAAUUUUCUCCUUCCGCUUUGCACUCGACAACAAGAAAACUUCAUUGGCAUUAACUUUAUUCCCUUGAUCUUUCCCUGAAACAUUGUAGGCAAGAAAUUUAUGCACAAAAGCUAGUGCCGGAUCCUUGAUGAAACUACUGGAUACACCCGACGCAUUCCAAUUAUCACACCCAGAUAAAUCAAGCCACGCCUCCUUCAACUUAAAGUUUUUCGGUCUAGAACGUGUCCCACUAAGUGGAAAACCAAACACGUCUUUCAUCAACUUCAAUGUUAUUUUGACCUCAUUCCCAAGCAUUCGACAAGUGAAAAAUUUCAUGUUCUCAUCGAACGUCAAAGUUGAGAAAAACUCAAAACACAAAGGCUCAAAGCCAACCAAAUCCUUCAUAUGAGCAUAUGUACUCAAUCCCAAAUAUCCCAAAUACUCAUCCAUUUUCUUAUCUACUCCCAAAAUUUCCAACAACCACCAAUCAAGAUAUCGUGGACAAGAGAUUUUUUUCUUUUUCAACUGCAAAUAACAAUUACCUUCGUCAUCAUUGAAGAUAGCAAAGGGUGCAUGGAAUUCUUCACGGAUAUCUUGCGGUGUAGCAUCUUCGUCCAUAGGUUCGGGUUGCUCAAUCGGAGCUCUAGAAGUAGUGCCGGGUCUUGUCUUCGUUCGUCCCAUGACUGAGCUAAUGAUGGACAAAUAGGAAUGGUGGCUACAAGAGUGAAAAACACUUCAAGUGUUAGUGUUGGAUUGCUGACGGCGGCUGGAUUGAAGCCAAAACAGGAGCAGCAGAUCGGAAGUGCAAACGGCGAGCAAAGAGGCCGGCGGCGAGAUGGGAGAGCGCGGUCAGUUCAGGGAGCUCCGGAGAUGGAAAUUGGAACACUAGCGGGCGGACGGCGCUGAGGACGCAAGGAGAGACGGAAGGUGACGUCUGGUGGUGAGGAACUGACGGUGGCUUGAGGUAGGCGGUGGCGACUGGAGAAUUCAAGGCUGCGCUUUUUGCGACCGACUGAUUCACGCAGAGACCGGCACUGCGGUAGUGGAAAAGGAGACCGCGCUGAGCAGCGGCGAACGGCGGCUCUGUGGUCGACGGCGCGCGGGUUCUGGAUGGGAGAGAUGGACGACGGUGGAGAGGCUGUGAAUUGUGAGGUGCUGAUGACGCGAGGUGACGCGGUGCGGCUGCUGAGUCGCGCAGAGGUCGACGGCGCGCGGAUUCCGGCAGUGAAGAUGGCCGGUGCUGGUCGAAAAAUGAUGGUGAAAGUGGCUGGAGAUGA